AGAGCCUCUGUGCUUGGGGCGGGGGGAGGCGGUGCCCCCUCCUCAAUACCCGGCCUUCCCGCCGCUCCGAACCAACGCCGUUCCCGUCGUUUUUUUCCGCACCGUGUCAGCACCUAACAUGGAGAGGGCUUGGAAAAGCCACAACGAAAUGAGGGAUUUGCAAAAUGCCUAUUUGCAGAAGCGGCGGGGGAGAGGGGUGAAACACCGGCCUCGCACCCCUCAACACCCCCCACCCCCGGGAACCCUCGGCAAGGGGCCUGCUGCUCGUCCCCGCGCGCCGGGCGUGCGAGCGGGCAGCGCCGUCUGCUUCCCAAUCCACAUCCUAAUCCACAUCCCAAUCCACAUCCUAACCCACAGUCCCGCCGGCCGGGGCAUCCCUGCUGCCUUGGCCCCGCCGCCCCCCGCCUCGGCUCUGCUCUUUUGUUUUCGGACGGGGCCUCCGCACUUUGGACGGUGGCGGCGCGCCCAGGGCAGGGCUAAACGCGGUGUCGGUGUGUCCCGGGCGGCUCUCCCGCGGGCCUCUCCCUGCGCGGCUUUGUGCUCCUUCUCGCCCGCCCGCGUGUGCAGGCACACCGGCCUCCGCAUACCUGUACCAGGAAAUAAAAGAAACUUUUCUGGAUU
Long non-coding RNA from Pezoporus flaviventris, 621 nucleotides. RefSeq lists it as uncharacterized. The transcript is spliced from 2 exons. NCBI's taxonomy places the organism in Eukaryota, Metazoa, Chordata, Aves, Psittaciformes, Psittacidae. The record is from RefSeq and is a predicted model, not a curated record.